RNAcentral lists this ribosomal RNA (369 nucleotides) under Agonum muelleri. RNAcentral's name for it is "SSU rRNA". It matches the Rfam family "Eukaryotic small subunit ribosomal RNA", at positions 583 to 885 of the family's 1831-position model. Lineage: Eukaryota; Metazoa; Arthropoda; Insecta; Coleoptera; Carabidae. RNAcentral also lists the same sequence under 2 other names. The record is from RNAcentral.
UUCCAGCUCCAAUAGCGUAUAUUAAAGUUGUUGCGGUUAAAAAGCUCGUAGUUGAAUUUGUGUCUCGCACUGUCGGUUCACCGCCCGCGGUGCUAACUGGCAUGUUUGCGAGACGUCCUGCCGGUGGAUGGUACGUAAAGUGAAGAUCUUUACGGGUUUUCAUUUUGCUCAUCCGACUUUUUAAAUCCUGUCGCGGUGCUCUUAACUGAGUGUCGAGGCGGGCCGGCACGUUUACUUUGAACAAAUUAGAGUGCUCAAAGCAGGCUAAUUAAUGCCUGAAUAAUUAGUGCAUGGAAUAAUGGAACAGGACCUUGGUUCUAUUUUGUUGGUUUUCGGAACCCCAAGGUAAUGAUUAAUAGGGACAGAUGG